GACGAACGCUGGCGGCGUGCCUAACACAUGCAAGUCGAACGGGGUAAGAGAGAAGCUUGCUUUUUCUUACUUAGUGGCGAACGGGUGAGUAACGCGUGAGAAACCUGCCUCUCAGUGGGGGACAACAGUUGGAAACGACUGCUAAUACCGCAUAACACUUUAGUACCGCAUGGUACAGAAGUCAAAGCUUUAUGUGCUGAGAGAUGGUCUCGCGUCUGAUUAGCUAGAUGGCGGGGUAACGGCCCACCAUGGCGACGAUGUCUAGGGGUUCUGAGAGGAAGGUCCCCCACACUGGUACUGAGACACGGACCAGACUCCUACGGGAGGCAGCAGUGAGGAAUAUUGGUCAAUGGGCGAGAGCCUGAACCAGCCAUGUCGCGUGCAGGAUUACGGCCCUAUGGGUUGUAAACUUCUUUUAUACGGGAAUAACAUCACCUACGUGUAGGUGCCUGCAUGUACCGUAUGAAUAAGCAUCGGCUAACUCCGUGCCAG
This 492-nucleotide ribosomal RNA is filed under the name uncultured bacterium. RNAcentral describes it as "bacterial SSU rRNA". It matches the Rfam family "Bacterial small subunit ribosomal RNA", at positions 28 to 511 of the family's 1533-position model. The record is from RNAcentral.